This 421-nucleotide long non-coding RNA is filed under the name Crocodylus porosus (Australian saltwater crocodile). Its description in RNAcentral is "lncRNA (ENSCPRG00005011464.1)". The record is from RNAcentral. Lineage: Eukaryota; Metazoa; Chordata; Crocodylia; Crocodylidae.
CUGGCUUUUCUCAGUGUGGUUUGUGUUGUAACCCUAACAGUCUGUGAGGGUGGUACACAUGGUAAUCUUUGCUGAGCAUAUCCUGAACGUCUGAUGUUUGUUUUGCUGGUUUUGAACUCUCACAUUCUGGAAAGAAAAGGGAAGUAGAAAGACAGCUGGGCAGCACAGACAUUUAUUUUACCUUCAUGUUUCCUUGAUAGCGUACGACACAGGGCAUGCAGUUAUAAUUUUAUAAGGAAGAUACUGCUCAGCCUUGCUUCUGACGGUGCCAUCUUUCCCUUCAAUCUCUUAAAUGAAAAUUCUACUGUCAUCCUGCAGCCGCAUAGGUACCUCAAGUUGAAAAAAAUGCACCUGUUUUUUUUUAACUUCUGUGGGUUCAGGAGCAGUCUCAGAAGUGUAAGUAUUGUGAGCUAUAGACUUG